AGAAUUUUGAAAAGAAAUAAAACGAUAUUAAAUUAACACUCACAGAAUUUCAUUCUCUAUAUAAAUGGAACCGAACCAACUUUCGAUUUUUUUCGAGAACGAGACACGAAAGGGUUGAUUUCACCUAGGAUUUCGUCAUUGCACGUUCUCUUUUUUCGGCACUCGUGACUCACUGUGUUAGCCGCGCAUCGAUCAGUCGCUCGUGCUCGCUCCAAUCUCAAUUUCUUCCCCUUUGAUCGUGCUUCGAAAAGAGUUUAUCAAUCCAGCGGCGAUCUGUACGUGAGGCAAAGCAGUAAUUGACCCGAUCGCCUGAAUGGCAUCGUUGAAUUUUCUUCAGAG
This is a long non-coding RNA of Apis florea (little honeybee), 339 nucleotides long. The record is from RefSeq and is a predicted model, not a curated record. NCBI's taxonomy places the organism in Eukaryota, Metazoa, Arthropoda, Insecta, Hymenoptera, Apidae.